GAUCAUGGCUCAGGAUGAACGCUAGCUACAGGCUUAACACAUGCAAGUCGAGGGGCAGCAUGUUGGUUGCUUGCAACCAAUGAUGGCGACCGGCGCACGGGUGAGUAACGCGUAUCCAACCUACCCUUGUCCAUCGGAUAACCCGUCGAAAGGCGGCCUAACACGAUAUGCGGUUCACAGCAGGCAUCUAACGUGAACGAAAUGUAAAGGAGAAGGAUGGGAUGCGU
RNAcentral lists this ribosomal RNA (227 nucleotides) under uncultured bacterium. Its description in RNAcentral is "partial 16S ribosomal RNA". It matches the Rfam family "Bacterial small subunit ribosomal RNA", at positions 15 to 236 of the family's 1533-position model. The record is from RNAcentral.